RNAcentral lists this long non-coding RNA (2826 nucleotides) under Mus musculus (house mouse). RNAcentral's name for it is "long non-coding RNA chr12:17727251-17730077". The stretch from base 2678 to 2745 matches the Rfam family "tRNA". Lineage: Eukaryota; Metazoa; Chordata; Mammalia; Rodentia; Muridae. The record is from RNAcentral.
UUUUUUUUUUUUUUUUUUUUUGCUGUGUUUUGGAGGCUUUUCUAUGUUGCCUGGGUGGGUACACAGAUGGUAUGUUUAGCCAAAGCAUGAGGGGUAAUUUGGAAAUAAAUGGAAGUUUGAGUCUGUGGACACAUCUGAUGCAUUUGUGUGCUCUGUGUAUAUGUCUGGGUCCGUGUGACAGACAACCAAAGCUUGUAUGCCUUGGGGUCCUUAGGCCUCUGGGUUGGAACAUGGCUGACACUCACCUGGCAGUCUUUGACCUUCUUGGGAGUAGGUAGGCCAGAGGAGUAGUGAUCGUGACCGGUAAUGAGAACACAGUGUCCCAAGUAAUGGCAAAAGAAGCUUUAACCCCGGGAGGAGAUGGACGGGGUCAGACCCAGCCCGCUUCAGGCUUUUUGAAGCCCACAGGCCUUUUCAGGGCCGGCCUGGAUCCCUAGGGAGACAAGCCCUCAUCUCCAAAUUUGAAAAUGUCUGCCUACCUCCACGUCUACCCCUAAUUGGUGCCAAUUCUGUCCACUUGGCCAUUUAAGCAAAACAAAUCUCCACGUAGCUUGGAGUCGACCCUUAUCAGGAGCCGGUCAGGGUGUGAACGGGCUGUGCUGUUGGGCAGCUGGCCAGCCAGGUUAACAGCCUCAGACUGGGGCUGGUGGUGUGUCCUUGUGCUGGCAAAUGCUAGUGUGGUAUGCUCAGGACCUCACAGACUGAGUUUCCACCGUGACAAGGGAUGAAACCAGCACCCAGUCUCUCUUCCCUCUCCCCGCUCUUCCCUGCUACUUUUCUACUUCUAUUACAGCUCUCAUGCCCCAGGCAGCCAGGAAGUCUCCCCUCCCUUCCCCCUCUUUCUGGUGGGGCUCAGGACCUCUCAGAGAUGGGAGAGUUUAAACACGUGUUCUCUCCCUCUCUGCACCCCACCCACCUUUGGCUUGCAGACUGCUGCAAGCUGUUUUCCUCCCCAGAAGAACACUGCAGCAGAAAGCAGUAAACACUCCGGAGUCUCCCAAACACUCGCUCAGUUGGCUAGAGUGCCGCCACCGGUAGACGGGUAGAUGCUGCUCAGGUGAGUUCAGCUUCAUGGGUAGUGUAGGUGCCACUCAGGGAACAGGAAGGUCUUUGGGUCUGGGCGCUGGACGAAUGAAUGUUCUUUGGGACUUAUUUAUCUGCUUCUUGCCAUGUCACAGUGCUGUGUGGGGGUCUGGUAGAACUUCCAUAGGAAUCCCAUGGAGGUAGUAGAAGUGGGAUAGAAAAGGUUUUUUCCUGCGCUGGUGAGUCACAAGGAUUUCAUGAGUGAAAUAUCCUUCCCUUUACUUCACAGUGGUCCCCAUAACAUUACUGUCGUAACAUUGGGUCCCAAGUAUGAACCACAGUACUGUGCAAAUGGUGGCAGGGAGGAGGAGACACAGUUUAAAAACUAUGCCGAGCCUGGAGAGAUGGCUCUGCAGUUAAAGGCUGGACUCACAACCAAAAUGACAAAGCCUCAAUGUCCACUGAUCUACCAACCCUUCUUUUGAAGUGCCUUCCAUUGCCCUGGGCUUCCGGGAUCUGAUUUGGAAGAGUGGGGAGUUGUCAUCCCCAGUGAAAGCUCUGCUUUCAGCCCCCCACCCCCCUCAGACUUUCUGGAACUUUCUGCUAGCCCCUAUCUUCUUAGGUAAAAAUGCAUCUCUGUCUCCUCCAUGUCAUCUGGCUUUUUAUUCUUCCCUGGGGACAGGAGGUGGUAUGGGAACCCUUGCCCCAGGCCUCCUCUGUGGUAUUGGAUAUCAUUAGGUACAUUGUCACAUCAGCUUAAUAUUUAGUCCCUAGGUUCCGCAUCGAUGCCUCUCGGUUGAUUCACACAAGGCUCAGUGUAGCAGUCUGCUUCAAACAUUAAAACUAUGGUCCUAGGGAUGGGGAAGGAGGGACAGGGGCAGGGCCACCUCAGAGUCCAGCUUAGGGGUGUCCUGGCCAGUCACCCAAGUGUGUGUUCCUUCCUGCUUUGAUCCAGUUUUGAGAUGUCUGUUGUAAGUCUAGCUGGUGCCGGGGUUGGGAAGGGGAAGGCUACGGAUUAAGAGCCAGCGAGGCAGACUAGUAUCCAGCAAUUUUGUACACUCUAAGCAGCAACAUUGGGUUUCUUUUUAAAGCAAUCUGGAUUUUGGCCACCUCCCAGGAAAUCCGGAUGUGUGUGGCGAGAUGUGGCUCACGCCUGUUUGGUCUAGUAGUCCGGCUUCUUUGCCAGAAACUCUCUGUGAAGUUCCCAGCAGCUGGGCCGCAGAGGUACAUGAAAGGCCUAUCCAAAUUCCAGGCAAAUGAAAGAAUCUGUGUCAUCACUGAUACACUCCUGAUGACAGCAGCUACCUGGGUGCCUGGUCGCUCUCUGCUGCUGUUCUGUGUGCGUCUUUCCUUUGCAUUUUGCUGUUACUGCGCCUAGGAAUUUUCUUGGCUCCUAUGACGCAGCUGACCAUGGCAGUGGAUGUUCCUGAAUUUCUUCCCAUUAUUACUGUGUCGGAUUGGAAUGCAAAUCUUAAAAAAGAAAUUUUAUCAUGGUUUUCCACUACUAUAAAAGUAGUAACAAGCCAGGCAUGGUGACUCAUGUCUAUACUUCUGCUGCUCAGGAGGCUGAGACAGGAGGUUUGCCAUGACUUCUAGGCCAGCCUGGCCUACAGUGUCUGACUGCCAUCCUUCAAAAAGGAAAAAAACGGGCUUUGGGAUAUGGCUCAGUUGGUAGAGUGAGUGCCUAGCAUGCACAAGGCUCUGGGUUCAAACCUCAGCCCGUCACAUACCUGUCUUGAUGAUGUAUCCCUGCAAUGUCAGCAUUUGGGAGGUAGAGGCAGGAGAAUCAGAAGUUCAAAGUUC